RNAcentral lists this ribosomal RNA (486 nucleotides) under uncultured bacterium. RNAcentral's name for it is "partial 16S ribosomal RNA". It matches the Rfam family "Bacterial small subunit ribosomal RNA", at positions 30 to 507 of the family's 1533-position model. The record is from RNAcentral.
AUUGAACGCUGGCGGCAUGCCUUACACAUGCAAGUCGAACGGCAGCACGGGUGCUUGCUCCUGGUGUCGAGUGGCGAACGGGUGAGUAAUACAUCGGUACAUUUCCUGGAGCUUGGGAUAGCGCGGGGAAAGCCGGGUUAAUACCCCAUUCGAACUACGGAUUAAAGCGGAGGGCGUUCGGGCCUCGCGCUGUGGGGUUGGCCGGUGGCUGAUUAGCUAGUUGGUGGGGUAAAGGCCUACCAAGGCGACGAUCAGUAGCUGGUCUGAGAGGACGACCAGCCACACUGGGACUGAGACACGGCUCAGACUCCUACGGGAGGCAGCAGUGGGGAAUUUUGGACAAUGGGCGAAAGCCUGAUCCAGCAAUGCCGCGUGUGUGAAGAAGGCCUUCGGGUUGUAAAGCACUUUUGUCCGGAAAGAAAUCCUUGGCUCUAAUACAGUCGGGGGAUGACGGUACCGGAAGAAUAAGCACCGGCUAACUACGUG